This 464-nucleotide ribosomal RNA is filed under the name uncultured bacterium. Its description in RNAcentral is "SSU rRNA". It matches the Rfam family "Bacterial small subunit ribosomal RNA", at positions 242 to 723 of the family's 1533-position model. The record is from RNAcentral.
CAGCUAGCUGGUGGGGUAAUGGCUCACCAGGGCAGUGAUCGGUAGCUGGUCUGAGAGGACGAUCAGCCACACUGGGAUUGAGAACGGCCCAGACUCCUACGGGGGGCAGCAGUGAGGAAUUUUCCGCAAUGGGCGCAAGCCUGACGGAGCAACGCCGCGUGCAGGACGACGGCCUUCGGGUUGUAAACUGCUUUUCUGUGGGACGAGAACGGACGGUACCACAGGAAGAAGCCCCGGCUAACUACGUGCCAGCAGCCGCGGUAAUACGUAGGGGGCAAGCGUUGUCCGGAGUUACUGGGCGUAAAGCGCACGCAGGCGGUUGCACGCGUUUCCGGUGCCAGCUCGUUGCUUAACGACGAGAGUGCCGGGAAGACGGUGCGACUCGAGGACCUCAGAGGGACAUAGAAUUCCGGGUGGAGUGGUGAAAUGCGUAGAUAUCCGGAGGAAUACCAAAGGCGAAGGCA